This 1498-nucleotide ribosomal RNA is filed under the name Sphingobium sp. RNAcentral's name for it is "partial 16S ribosomal RNA". It matches the Rfam family "Bacterial small subunit ribosomal RNA". Lineage: Bacteria; Pseudomonadati; Pseudomonadota; Alphaproteobacteria; Sphingomonadales; Sphingobiaceae. The record is from RNAcentral.
AGCAAGGGGGCUGCCUAUACAUGCAGUCGACGAGAUCUUCGGAUCUACCGUGGCGGGGUGGGUGCGCGUGGAAUCUGCCCUUGAGUUCGGAAUGACUUGUGGAAUCGGACGCUAAACCGGAUAGGAUGACCUACGUACACUCGAUUUAUCGACCGGGGAUGAUCCCGCGUCCUAUUACUUCGUUGGCGGGGUAAUGGGCCCUCCAUAGGCGGGAACGAUCCCUUAAACUGGUUCCUGAAAGGAUUGAUAUCCCACACCCUGGGAUCCUGAAAGGACGACCCACACUCCUGUACGGGUAGGCCAACCCGUACGGCAAUACUUGAACGAAUGGGAGGCAAUGCUUGAUCUUUGGAUGCCGUCCGUGAGUGACUAAUGCCUUAAGGUGUGUAAGUGAUCUUUUACCCCUUGAAUGAUUGUGACCGCUAUUUUGUAGCAAUAAACUCCAGGCUAACUGCCUUGCCCCGCAUGCAGCGAUGAUACUGACGGGAGUCAAUCGUUGUUCGCAAAUUACUGUGCGUACAGCCUCACGUAAGCGGCUAUUCGCUGUCCGAUGUGAAAAACUGGUGCUCAUCCCCUGGAACUGCCAUUUGAUCCUUGAUACCUAUAAUCCAUGAGAGGUGAGUGGAAUUCCAAUUGUUUAGUUGCUGUUCGUAUAUAUUCUGAAGAACGCCGGUAGAAAUCGCGGCUCACUGGACUGAUGUUGACACUUGUGUACGAAUACCGUGUGGAGCAAGCAGGACCAUGUACCAAGGCUGACCCUCCCGCACACGAUCAUGACUAUGCUGUCAGGAUUCAAUAUGCUGUUGGUGCCACAGCUUACGCGAUGUCUUAUCCGCCUGGGGGAGUACGAGUCGCUAGAUUAAAACUCUAACGCAUUUGACUGGACCCCUGCGCAGACGACGGUCGCAUGUAUUUUUAACUCAAAGGAAAUGCACAGAAACUUACCAACGCUUUGACAUGACUAUCAUUGAUCGUGUAGACACUUUCCUAUCAUUUCGGCUGGAUGAGUGACAUGGUACUCCUGCGGCUGUCGUGGGCUCGUGUCAAGAGAUGCUAUGUUACAGUCCGCUGACUGAGCUGCACCCAUCUCGUGUCGUGACAUGCAUUUCGAGUUAGGUUACUCUAAAGCAACCACCAUUGUAUCAUACCUGGACUGACAGGAUGGAGCAUGUACUAUUCGAAGAUCUGCCAUUGUGCACUUACCCGAUGAGCUCCCCACUAGCGCGCAGGUGGACUUCAAUGGGCGUACAUGACACGCGGUGUAUAGGCUACGUCGUGUGCAAAGGUGACAUAUAUUGUCUCAGGAUCCGUACUGCGUUGUUCUGAUACCGUCUCUAGCGUGUAGGCGGGAGCUCUUCUAUCACCGCGUGAACAGCAUGCCGCGGUGAAUACGUUCCCAGGCCUUGUACACACCGCCCGUCACACCAUGGGAGUGGGAUUCACCAGAAGUGGCUGAUCUAACCGCAAGGAGGCACGUCGACCACAGUGAUUCGAGUGG